AAAUUUAAAGAGCCGCAGUAUUUUAACUGUGCGAAGGUAGCGUAAUCAUUAGGUUUUUAAUUGAAAUCUUGUAUGAAUGGUUGAACAAAUAAGACGCUGUCUUUGUAUUUAAUUUGAAUUUAACUUUUAAGUGAAAAGGCUUAAAUAUUCUAAAAAGACGAUAAGACCCUAUAAAACUUUACAUUAAAUCUAAAUAAAAUUGAUUUUUAAAAAUAAAAAUUAAUUUAGUUAUUUGUUAUGUUGGGGAGACAAAGGUGUAAAUAAAAAUAACCGCUUUAUGUAGAAACAAAUAUUUAUGGGAAUAUUGAUCCUAGAAUACAGAUUAAAGAUUAAGUUACUUUAGGGAUAACAGCGUUAUUUUUUUUAAGAGUUCCUAUCGAAAAAAAAGGUUACGACCUCGAUGUUGAAUUAAAAUUUCUUUAUAGUGAAGCAGUUAUAUAAGAA
RNAcentral lists this ribosomal RNA (444 nucleotides) under Isolapotamon sp. DBS 045. RNAcentral describes it as "partial large subunit ribosomal RNA". It matches the Rfam family "Bacterial large subunit ribosomal RNA", at positions 1915 to 2573 of the family's 2925-position model. Lineage: Eukaryota; Metazoa; Arthropoda; Malacostraca; Decapoda; Potamidae. The record is from RNAcentral.